RNAcentral lists this ribosomal RNA (539 nucleotides) under Streptococcus sp. oral clone BP2-54. Its description in RNAcentral is "bacterial SSU rRNA". It matches the Rfam family "Bacterial small subunit ribosomal RNA", at positions 8 to 521 of the family's 1533-position model. Lineage: Bacteria; Bacillati; Bacillota; Bacilli; Lactobacillales; Streptococcaceae. The record is from RNAcentral.
AGAGUUUGAUCCUGGCUCAGGACGAACGCUGGCGGCGUGCCUAAUACAUGCAAGUAGAACGCACAGGACGCACCGUAGUUUACUACACCGUAUUCUGUGAGUUGCGAACGGGUGAGUAACGCGUAGGUAACCUGCCUGGUAGCGGGGGAUAACUAUUGGAAACGAUAGCUAAUACCGCAUAAGAACAUUUACUGCAUGGUAGAUGUUUAAAAGGUGCAAAUGCAUCACUACCAGAUGGACCUGCGUUGUAUUAGCUAGUAGGUGAGGUAACGGCUCACCUAGGCGACGAUACAUAGCCGACCUGAGAGGGUGAUCGGCCACACUGGGACUGAGACACGGCCCAGACUCCUACGGGAGGCAGCAGUAGGGAAUCUUCGGCAAUGGGGGGAACCCUGACCGAGCAACGCCGCGUGAGUGAAGAAGGUUUUCGGAUCGUAAAGCUCUGUUGUUAAGGAAGAACGAGUGUGUGAAUGGAAAGUUCAUACUGUGACGGUACUUAACCAGAAAGGGACGGCUAACUACGUGCCAGCAGCCGCGGU